Molecule: long non-coding RNA, 251 nt
Organism: Gorilla gorilla gorilla (western lowland gorilla)
Lineage: Eukaryota; Metazoa; Chordata; Mammalia; Primates; Hominidae
Exons: 3
Source: RefSeq, a predicted model, not a curated record
GUGGGAGCCCAGGCAGAGGAGGCACCGAGAGCGAGCAAGGGCUGUGAGGACUGCCAGCACGCUGUCACCUCUCAUAUCUAUGCUGACUGAUGGAGUCAAGUGACAGAUAUGGAAAGUUUACAAGACUGACCUGGAAGAAUUCAGAAACAAGAUAAACAGCGACAUCAUGAACAACCACCACCACCAAAAUGAAAGCAUACCAGACGAACUUAUACUGUGGGACCUAGAAUGAUAACUCUGAUUACUGAACA